Molecule: non-coding RNA, 2018 nt
Organism: Microcebus murinus (gray mouse lemur)
Lineage: Eukaryota; Metazoa; Chordata; Mammalia; Primates; Cheirogaleidae
Source: RefSeq, a predicted model, not a curated record
AUGGAUGGGUGGAUAGAUGGAUGGAUAGAUGGGUAUAUGGAGGGAUGGGUGGAUGGAAAUCAUGACAGGUAGGAGGUCUUCCGGAGGGCAAAUUUUAUCACCCUUAAGGAAGAAGAAGUGAGUGAGGAGGUGUCUGGUGAUAUCAAGGCUCUUGGAGGGGGUAUAUGUCUGACUUGCCUGGACAGCUGGGAACAACCUCUGGGGCAGUUUCACAAAGAUCUGUCUGCCUGCUGAGUUAAGAGCAAAGGCCAAAAGGUGAGCCCUGUGGUGGCUGUUACCUACCCCAUGAACCCUGAAAAUGACCUGGAACAUCAAAAGAAAAAAUGCUACACAAGCCUGAGCCCAACCAGAGACCAUCUGAAUUACAUCUCAAAGGAGCAUGCAUGACAUUUUUACAAUGUCCCCAGUUCUGUGUGUAUCGAUGAAGAUGACAAACGCAAGAUGAACAAAUAAAAUGAAGACGCUGUAGAAAAAAAAAAAAGAAAAGAAAAGAAAAGAAAAAGGUAUGCAUUCCAUAGCAGACAAAGUGAAACAUCUCUCCCCUGUGUUAACUUUUCAUAGCUUCUUGGGUAUAAUUAGACCAGCCCACACGGUACUAAAAAUUACAGGCUCUUGAAUAACUCACUCCACUAGUGACUGUUUAUUUAUUGUUGAAUUUAUGUGAACAGUUCUCAUUGCAAGAUACCUCGAGAUAGGUAUGGGAAAGGAAUGUCAAACUAGGAGACAAAUAAACCACCCUGCUAACUUCUAAGGGAAAUUCUUGACUGGUGUUAAAGAUAAUACCCGCCUCUGUGCUUGGAAGAUAAUCCCAAGCAACUAACCCUUUGUUUUCUCCUUGGUUUGCAUCUGGGGCUGGGGGAGGCAAGACAAAGCUAGAGGAAACUCCCGAUUCACUGGGAUUUUGUCAGUUUGCAAGUGAGCAACCUUUGUAUAGCAGAAGCUGAGGGAGACGUAUCUUUGUAAGAACUGUAAUAAAGUAUUUCUGGAAUCCUCUGUUGGGUGUGUAGUGAAGUUCUCCCACCACUACCCCGGGCCCCAAGGCAUUUGACCUAGGAGGAAAGAAAUAACACUUCCAAACAGAGGCUUUUGUUUCCAGAGCCUGUAGAAGCAGCAGGGCAAAAGAAUGAAACAGUAUCCCCGACAAACAGAAGGCCAGAGGAGAACUGGGUGGGUCCACUUGGCAUACAAACCUUGGACAAUCUCUCUAAUUCAGCAACUUUUUCUGGGCAGCUCUGGAGAUCAAAGGGAGAACGCAACAUCAUUUUCAGAGCUGUAUAUUUCGCAGAAAAGACGCGGAUUCCAUAACAAUCUAUCUCUCCUGCUACAGACCGUGGACCGACGUGUUUUAUAAAACUUAUCCCAAGCUUGUCUCUUUCGCCCAGGAGAGAGACUGCGUUGACGGGUGCCAAGAGUAUAUUUGCGUGGAACAUUGUACCGGCUGAGAAAUGCAAUGCCAAAGUCAUGGCGGGAGGAGAGGAAACAAUGCCGUGUUUGUAUAAUUUUAAGUUGUAAAAGCUCUAUAAAUAGAAGGGAUAAAUAGGAGGAGUUUUCAACCUAUUUUUGCUGGCACGUAUGUAGGUAAUGUUGCAUUACUUGCAUUUGCAAGUUGCUCUUAGAUAAAUUCACUAGCACAAACACUGCACUCAACACCUCUAAGAGCCUCUAAAGCUCAUUGCUAUGAUUCCUGAAAAUGCGAUUGGAUUUACUAAGGACAUCUUAAGUUUUCUUUGGGAAGAUAUCAAACACAGCUUUUCACUGAGAGUUGCUGCUUCAAAACUUCCAAAGUUUUCUUUCCAGGGUGAAGAUUGCCUCCCAAGAAGUGAUGCCUCCAUGGGGAACGGUUUUCUAUACACAAACAGUGUGACAGAUAAGAUUGUUCUUUAAACUAUUUCGACUGCGGUGCCGAAACGUUAAUGAGAUUUGAGCUGAUUCACCUCGUGGAGUCCGCAGACUCACAAAUGUCCUUUUUGUGUUUCUUCAGUUCCUAUGUUUUGGGCAUUAAACUUCAGUUUACGUCA